GGGUUGUGAGGUUAAGCGACUAAGCGUACACGGUGGAUGCCCUGGCAGUCAGAGGCGAUGAAGGACGUGCUAAUCUGCGAUAAGCGUCGGUAAGGUGAUAUGAACCGUUAUAACCGGCGAUUUCCGAAUGGGGAAACCCAGUGUGAUUCGUCACACUAUCAUUAACUGAAUCCAUAGGUUAAUGAGGCGAACCGGGGGAACUGAAACAUCUAAGUACCCCGAGGAAAAGAAAUCAACCGAGAUUCCCCCAGUAGCGGCGAGCGAACGGGGAGCAGCCCAGAGCCUGAAUCAGUGUGUGUGUUAGUGGAAGCGUCUGGAAAGGCGCGCGAUACAGGGUGACAGCCCCGUACACAAAAAUGCACAUACUGUGAGCUCGAUGAGUAGGGCGGGACACGUGGUAUCCUGUCUGAAUAUGGGGGGACCAUCCUCCAAGGCUAAAUACUCCUGACUGACCGAUAGUGAACCAGUACCGUGAGGGAAAGGCGAAAAGAACCCCGGCGAGGGGAGUGAAAAAGAACCUGAAACCGUGUACGUACAAGCAGUGGGAGCACGCUUAGGCGUGUGACUGCGUACCUUUUGUAUAAUGGGUCAGCGACUUAUAUUCUGUAGCAAGGUUAACCGAAUAGGGGAGCCGAAGGGAAACCGAGUCUUAACUGGGCGUUAAGUUGCAGGGUAUAGACCCGAAACCCGGUGAUCUAGCCAUGGGCAGGUUGAAGGUUGGGUAACACUAACUGGAGGACCGAACCGACUAAUGUUGAAAAAUUAGCGGAUGACUUGUGGCUGGGGGUGAAAGGCCAAUCAAACCGGGAGAUAGCUGGUUCUCCCCGAAAGCUAUUUAGGUAGCGCCUCGUGAAUUCAUCUCCGGGGGUAGAGCACUGUUUCGGCAAGGGGGUCAUCCCGACUUACCAACCCGAUGCAAACUGCGAAUACCGGAGAAUGUUAUCACGGGAGACACACGGCGGGUGCUAACGUCCGUCGUGAAGAGGGAAACAACCCAGACCGCCAGCUAAGGUCCCAAAGUCAUGGUUAAGUGGGAAACGAUGUGGGAAGGCCCAGACAGCCAGGAUGUUGGCUUAGAAGCAGCCAUCAUUUAAAGAAAGCGUAAUAGCUCACUGGUCGAGUCGGCCUGCGCGGAAGAUGUAACGGGGCUAAACCAUGCACCGAAGCUGCGGCAGCGACGCUGAUGCGUUGUUGGGUAGGGGAGCGUUCUGUAAGCCUGUGAAGGUGUGCUGUGAGGCAUGCUGGAGGUAUCAGAAGUGCGAAUGCUGACAUAAGUAACGAUAAAGCGGGUGAAAAGCCCGCUCGCCGGAAGACCAAGGGUUCCUGUCCAACGUUAAUCGGGGCAGGGUGAGUCGACCCCUAAGGCGAGGCCGAAAGGCGUAGUCGAUGGGAAACAGGUUAAUAUUCCUGUACUUGGUGUUACUGCGAAGGGGGGACGGAGAAGGCUAUGUUGGCCGGGCGACGGUUGUCCCGGUUUAAGCGUGUAGGCUGGUUUUCCAGGCAAAUCCGGAAAAUCAAGGCUGAGGCGUGAUGACGAGGCACUACGGUGCUGAAGCAACAAAUGCCCUGCUUCCAGGAAAAGCCUCUAAGCAUCAGGUAACAUCAAAUCGUACCCCAAACCGACACAGGUGGUCAGGUAGAGAAUACCAAGGCGCUUGAGAGAACUCGGGUGAAGGAACUAGGCAAAAUGGUGCCGUAACUUCGGGAGAAGGCACGCUGAUAUGUAGGUGAAGUCCCUCGCGGAUGGAGCUGAAAUCAGUCGAAGAUACCAGCUGGCUGCAACUGUUUAUUAAAAACACAGCACUGUGCAAACACGAAAGUGGACGUAUACGGUGUGACGCCUGCCCGGUGCCGGAAGGUUAAUUGAUGGGGUCAGCGCAAGCGAAGCUCUUGAUCGAAGCCCCGGUAAACGGCGGCCGUAACUAUAACGGUCCUAAGGUAGCGAAAUUCCUUGUCGGGUAAGUUCCGACCUGCACGAAUGGCGUAAUGAUGGCCAGGCUGUCUCCACCCGAGACUCAGUGAAAUUGAACUCGCUGUGAAGAUGCAGUGUACCCGCGGCAAGACGGAAAGACCCCGUGAACCUUUACUAUAGCUUGACACUGAACAUUGAGCCUUGAUGUGUAGGAUAGGUGGGAGGCUUUGAAGUGUGGACGCCAGUCUGCAUGGAGCCGGCCUUGAAAUACCACCCUUUAAUGUUUGAUGUUCUAACGUUGACCCGUUAUCCGGGUUGCGGACAGUGUCUGGUGGGUAGUUUGACUGGGGCGGUCUCCUCCUAAAGAGUAACGGAGGAGCACGAAGGUUGGCUAAUCCUGGUCGGACAUCAGGAGGUUAGUGCAAUGGCAUAAGCCAGCUUGACUGCGAGCGUGACGGCGCGAGCAGGUGCGAAAGCAGGUCAUAGUGAUCCGGUGGUUCUGAAUGGAAGGGCCAUCGCUCAACGGAUAAAAGGUACUCCGGGGAUAACAGGCUGAUACCGCCCAAGAGUUCAUAUCGACGGCGGUGUUUGGCACCUCGAUGUCGGCUCAUCACAUCCUGGGGCUGAAGUAGGUCCCAAGGGUAUGGCUGUUCGCCAUUUAAAGUGGUACGCGAGCUGGGUUUAGAACGUCGUGAGACAGUUCGGUCCCUAUCUGCCGUGGGCGCUGGAGAACUGAGGGGGGCUGCUCCUAGUACGAGAGGACCGGAGUGGACGCAUCACUGGUGUUCGGGUUGUCAUGCCAAUGGCACUGCCCGGUAGCUAAAUGCGGAAGAGAUAAGUGCUGAAAGCAUCUAAGCACGAAACUUGCCCCGAGAUGAGUUCUCCCUGACUCCUUGAGAGUCCUGAAGGAACGUUGAAGACGACGACGUUGAUAGGCCGGGUGUGUAAGCGCAGCGAUGCGUUGAGCUAACCGGUACUAAUGAACCGUGAGGCUUAACCUUACAACGCCGAAG
This 2925-nucleotide ribosomal RNA is filed under the name Escherichia coli. Its description in RNAcentral is "partial 23S ribosomal RNA". It matches the Rfam family "Bacterial large subunit ribosomal RNA". The record is from RNAcentral. Lineage: Bacteria; Pseudomonadati; Pseudomonadota; Gammaproteobacteria; Enterobacterales; Enterobacteriaceae.